UCCCACGGGCAAAAUCUUCCAUCGCCCGGGGCUGAGACUUGUCAAACUGCCCUCUACGGUCACCCGGAAAUGGCUGUGAUUCAGCGUCCCUCUUAGCAGCAGGCACUGACAGAGGCAGGAGAGGAAAAAAGAAAGAAAGAAAGAGAAAACACAGCAAAUGAAUCAAACGGACGUAGCAGGCAAGAGUGUGGUUAUCGUUGGACCAGGAUUCAGGAUCUGACCGAGUAGCUGACUCUUAAUCCAGUUUGUGUUGAUCACCAGGAGGAUCUGGACCUCAGUGUUAUCACAUCUAAAGGUCAAGGAAGCUUUUCCUGAUCCACUAAGGACAAUCAAACCCUUCAUGAUCUAGAAUCUGGAGACUGUGUCUUCUGGGAAUAGUAUCAGAGAAAGACUGCCCUUACUGCCCACAUGUAGCAAAACUUUGAGACGUUGAAUUAUGGGUCCAUAAUCUCACAACUCAGAGGGGCACCUCUAGACUCUUGGAACUGCAUAUCUAUUGGAGACUUUAAGGUAAAGCUGAACAGAGACGUUUUUCUCCAGAAGCAGACAGCACCAUAGUCAUGGACAGCUUUCCCAAGAUCACAGAUCAAGACUUCUGUGCCGUCAUGAGACUCAUACCUCUUAAUUUUUUCUUGCUUAUGCUUCUGUGAACAAUAGAAUUGGAAAAGGGGUGGUCCCGCGUGCACCCAUAGGGUAUACUUUUAUUUGUGGAGGAUUUUGCUGCCAACCUUAUACAUGGGCAAACUUAUGCCUUCAUGGAUGGAAGAUAAAGGGCUAAUAUGGGUUAGAAAUUUUAAUGGUACCUUUGUUUCUCCAUAAUCAUUCAGAAACAGAACACUGGUCCACUCUUGUUAACCUACAUCAUAGGUUGAAGAGAACAUUGCCAGGAGGUCUUCAUCCUUCCAGAUGGGCACCAUUUGUUGGGUCUUUUUCCAUGGUAUGAAGAAAAUGAAGCAAUGAUUAGAAAUUGGUCCCUCGGCCGGGCACAAUGGCUCAUGCCUGUAAUCCCAUCACUUUGGCAGGCCGACGCGGGUGGAUCACCUGAGGUCAGGAGUUUGAGACCAGCCUGACCAAUGUGGUGAAACCCCAUCUCUACUAAAAAUACAAAAAUUAGCUGGGUGUGAUGGUGCACACCUGUAAUCCAGCUACUCGGGAGGCUGAGACAGGAGAAUUGCUUGAACCUGGGAGGCAGAGGUUGCAGUGAGCCAAGAUCACCCCACUGCAUUCCAGGUUGGGCAACAGAGCAAGACUCUGUCUCAAAAAAAAAAGAAGAAAGAAAGAAAUUGAUCCCUCAUAAUAGGCUGUAUAGCAGAUUCUACUGCAAAGGCUAUGGUUGCACAACAGCCUUCUUUGAAUUUGCUUGCUAAACUUUUACUGGAUAAUAGAAUUGCCUCCAAAAGUGCUGGGAUUACAGGUGUGAGCCACUGUGCCCAGCCUCUCCUGUUUAAUUGUAUUCAUUCUAAUGUUUACUUACUUCUUUAAUUUGUAAAAUUGGGUCACUUAGAGUUUUUUAGCCUAUCUUACCAUUUAGCCACUAUUACUGAUAAUUUGGAUGGAAAAGAAAA
RNAcentral lists this long non-coding RNA (1565 nucleotides) under Pan troglodytes (chimpanzee). RNAcentral describes it as "long non-coding RNA NONPTRT003546". The record is from RNAcentral. Lineage: Eukaryota; Metazoa; Chordata; Mammalia; Primates; Hominidae.